UAGGGAAUCUUCGGCAAUGGGGGGAACCCUGACCGAGCAACGCCGCGUGAGUGAAGAAGGUUUUCGGAUCGUAAAGCUCUGUUGUUAAGGAAGAACGAGUGUGAGAAUGGAAAGUUCAUGCUGUGACGGUACUUAACCAGAAAGGGACGGCUAACUACGUGCCAGCAGCCGCGGUAAUACGUAGGGGGCUAGCGUUAUCCGGAUUUACUGGGCGUAAAGGGUGCGUAGGUGGUCCUUCAAGUCGGUGGUUAAAGGCUACGGCUCAACCGUAGUAAGCCGCCGAAACUGGAGGACUUGAGUGCAGGAGAGGAAAGUGGAAUUCCCAGUGUAGCGGUGAAAUGCGUAGAUAUUGGGAGGAACACCAGUAGCGAAGGCGGCUUUCUGGACUGCAACUGACACUGAGGCACGAAAGCGUGGGUAGCAAACAGG
Molecule: ribosomal RNA, 429 nt
Filed under: Verrucomicrobiota bacterium
Lineage: Bacteria; Pseudomonadati; Verrucomicrobiota
Description: Verrucomicrobia bacterium partial 16S ribosomal RNA
Rfam family: Bacterial small subunit ribosomal RNA
Source: RNAcentral